This 457-nucleotide unclassified non-coding RNA is filed under the name Zea mays. RNAcentral describes it as "misc RNA Zm00001eb301920". The record is from RNAcentral. Lineage: Eukaryota; Viridiplantae; Streptophyta; Magnoliopsida; Poales; Poaceae.
CCGGUGGAACCAUUCUCAAACUUUGGGCCCUUUUUGACAGGUUGGUCUCCUUCAGAGACGAGACAAUAGCACCAAGUGCAGGUUUGAUCGGAUCAAACAUGAGCAAACAGAGGCAGUCAACGGAUGAUCUCACAUACUGCAGGAUCAAGAAUCCUUUGCAAAAGCCUCCGAACCGGCGGCGGUGGCAGAAGCCGGUCUCGGGCCACGAUGGCGUCGAGCGCUGGCGGCGCGUCGUCGUCGCUGGUGAAGAACGAGCCCUACAUGCGUGCUGUCAAGAUCUACCUCAAGAGCCUAGACAUCCAAAUGGAGAAACAGCUAGCCAAGACAUGGAGAAGCACAACGGGUCGUAAGGGAGGACUGGGAGAUCGACCUCGCCAAGCUUCUAUCAACCAAAAGAAAAUCAUGCUCCUCAACAGAUAGCAGAACAUCCUAUUUGAAAUGAGUUUGUGAAUAAGUG